RNAcentral lists this ribosomal RNA (254 nucleotides) under uncultured bacterium. RNAcentral describes it as "partial 16S ribosomal RNA". It matches the Rfam family "Bacterial small subunit ribosomal RNA", at positions 524 to 776 of the family's 1533-position model. The record is from RNAcentral.
UACGUAGGGUGCGAGCGUUAAUCGGAAUUACUGGGCGUAAAGCGUGCGCAGGCGGUUAUGUAAGACAGAUGUGAAAUCCCCGGGCUCAACCUGGGAACUGCAUUUGUGACUGCAUAGCUAGAGUACGGUAGAGGGGGAUGGAAUUCCGCGUGUAGCAGUGAAAUGCGUAGAUAUGCGGAGGAACACCGAUGGCGAAGGCAAUCCCCCUGGACCUGUACUGACGCUCAUGCACGAAAGCGUGGGGAGCAAACAGG